Molecule: long non-coding RNA, 468 nt
Filed under: Amazona collaria (yellow-billed parrot)
Lineage: Eukaryota; Metazoa; Chordata; Aves; Psittaciformes; Psittacidae
Description: lncRNA (ENSACOG00000016697.1)
Source: RNAcentral
AUGAUUUAUAUACACUGCAAGAAUUUUCUCCUGGAAAUACAAGCAGAAUUUAUAACAGAUUCUGCAGAGUACUCGGAGCAUCCUGUGGGGCCUUCAGUGUCCUGUUAUCAUAGCUGUCACCAAGAUCUCCCACUGCAGAAACUAGGAGCUCCUGAUCUCACAGGAGUUCCUUUUUCCCAGAUGCUAUCCCAGCUACAUGCGCAGAGGAUCUUCUUCUGUUAUAGAGAUGCCAGAAGUCAAACAAGCCACUACUGUGACCAAAGUAACUUCAAAUUAAUAAAUAAAUCAAGAUCCCCAGUGCUCAGUCCUUUAAAGGAGACGUAAAGCCGUGGAAAGUUAAACUGAGGGUAAAACUUUGUAUCAAAGGGAAGCAGGUAAUACAAAAUGUCAGUGAAUUGGUUUAAAAAUGGCCCUUGAUAAAAAAGGAAAUGGUCUGUCAAGUGCAACUUUGAAGAAGCACGUUUUUCC